Molecule: long non-coding RNA, 317 nt
Filed under: Elaeis guineensis (African oil palm)
Lineage: Eukaryota; Viridiplantae; Streptophyta; Magnoliopsida; Arecales; Arecaceae
Description: long non-coding RNA (EGUI_LNC066323)
Source: RNAcentral
GAUUUUGCUAAAUUGAAAUACAUUGAUACAUUAACGCCUACUAAUUCGGAAGGAUCAAUCUCAUCUUUACUUAUAUAGGGACUUAACAAGUACUUGACUGUACCCAGAAAUCUUUCGUCACUGAAUUUAAAACUCAGUUAGUCCAGUACCAAAAUAUAGUGAGUUGCUUGUAAGUCACCGUGAUGAUCUCAUAUUGGAAGGACACUUAUACCCAUACCCUUCGUGAGCUACCCUUGACAGUAGAGUACUCCAUAGUUGGUCACGUUCAGUGAUGAUAUACUCCUACAUCUCACUUGUAUGCCAUACCAGUAUCUCCA